GCCUUCGUGGUGUAGUGGUCAGCACGCUCGACGCAUAGUCGAGAUGUCCGUGGUUCGAGUCCCGGCAAAGGCA
Molecule: non-coding RNA, 73 nt
Organism: Stegodyphus mimosarum
Lineage: Eukaryota; Metazoa; Arthropoda; Arachnida; Araneae; Eresidae
Source: Rfam